AACGUAGGUGGCAAGCGUUAUCCGGAUUUACUGGGUGUAAAGCGUGUGCAGGCGGUCGUGUAAGUAGCGCGUGAAAGCGCCCGGCUCAACCGGGCGAGGACGUGCUGUACUGCACGACUGGAGAUGGGUAGAGGCGAGUGGAAUUCCGGGUGUAGUGGUGAAAUGCGUAGAUAUCCGGAGGAACACCAGAGGCGAAGGCGACUCGCUGGGCCCGUUCUGACGCUCAGACACGACAGCAUGGGGAGCAAACGGG
Molecule: ribosomal RNA, 253 nt
Filed under: uncultured bacterium
Lineage: Bacteria
Description: partial 16S ribosomal RNA
Rfam family: Bacterial small subunit ribosomal RNA
Source: RNAcentral